CCUACGGGAGGCAGCAGUGGGGGAUAUUGCACAAUGGGGGGAACCCUGAUGCAGCGACGCCGCGUGGGUGAAGAAGCGCCUCGGCGCGUAAAGCCCUGUCAGCCGGGAAGCAAAUGACGGUACCUGAAGAAGAAGCCGCGGCUAACUACGUGCCAGCAGCCGCGGUAAUACGGAGGGGGCAAGCGUUAUCCGGAUUUACUGGGUGUACAGGGGGCGCAGACGGCGAUGAAAGCCAGGAGUGAAAGCCCCGGGCCCAACCCCGGGACUGCUCGUGGAACUGCGUGGCUGGAGUGCAGGAGGGGCAGGCGGAAUGCGUGGUGUAGCGGUGAAAUGCGUAGAUAUCAGGAGGAACACCGGUGGCGAAGGCGGCCUGCUGGACUGCAACUGACGUUGAGGCCCGAAAGCGUGGGGAGCAAACAGGAUUAGAUACCCUAGUAGUC
RNAcentral lists this ribosomal RNA (440 nucleotides) under uncultured bacterium. RNAcentral's name for it is "partial 16S ribosomal RNA". It matches the Rfam family "Bacterial small subunit ribosomal RNA", at positions 338 to 795 of the family's 1533-position model. The record is from RNAcentral.